RNAcentral lists this long non-coding RNA (1498 nucleotides) under Canis lupus familiaris (dog). Its description in RNAcentral is "lncRNA (ENSCAFG00040006531.1)". The record is from RNAcentral. Lineage: Eukaryota; Metazoa; Chordata; Mammalia; Carnivora; Canidae.
CCUGGAGAGGAAAGGGCCCAGGUGGUUGACGUGUUUUCCUAAAGUCAGUUUCUCAGUUUGGAUGGUUGUCGCUCUGCCGCCCACCCCUCCUGUGAUGGUGACAGAGAUGUUGAGAACAGGGGAAGCCCUCUGGCAUUUCCCCCACACGAUCUCACCAGCUUCUCUGUGAGUCUCUGACAGCUUCCAAACUUAAACAGUUAAAUAAAUAAAUAAAUAAAUAAAUAAAUAAAUAAAUAAAUAGCUGACUUAUCAAAAAGAGAGAGAGAGAGAGAAAGAGGGGACCAGCCUGCAUUAGGUGGAGACCACUUCUGGCCGCUGAGCCAGGCCCCGAGGACAUGAGGGUGGAGAUUAGGGGUCUCGUCCUCGAGGCUGGGUAAGGGCACCUGGGGGAUGGUGCUUGGAGCAGAUGGAGGCUCAGGGGAGAGCAGGGGUCCCAGCAACACCCGAGGGCUGGCCGUGGUCAACGAUGGCCAUGGGCACUCCAGCUGCAGGGGUGAGGGCGGAGAACUUGCUCCAGAUGAGGACACGGAGCUGAGGCGGAUGAGGGCCCCCGGGGCCAGAUCCGUCUAUGCAAUGGGCCGCAGGACACCAGACACAUGACAGGAUUGCAGGCGGGGGCUGGCUUCCCAGUGAAAUAGGAGGACGUCGGAAAUGACCAGCCAGCCUUACAAGGACGGUGUUUGUCCAGAAAGAUCAAGACUUUAACUGGAAGUGAUUAGUGUCCACAGAAGCACACACCCCGGGUGGCCUGGGUCCAGGGCUCUGAGCCGAAUGACUGCGCCGCGGCCGCUGCACUGGCGGGAGCUGGUCACAGGGAAGGAGCGGCCUUGGCUGAGGCUCACUGUGGCUCUGGGCACAAGUCACCCUAAUGCACUUGUAAAUAAACCAAUGCAAGGACUGACCAGGUACCAGCUGCUGAUGCGUCUGCUGUCAUCUCCAGUCCUUACUACACCCCCAUGGCAGAUGCACAACAAACUCAAGGUCAGUGACGUGCUCGGGCUAAGGGCAACGGGGACUAGGCUUUGGACUCCGUCCCCCUGAACACCACGCCCUGGCACCUGCCACCACGAAGCUCUUGGGCAUCGUCUCAGUUCGCAGGUGACGCUCAAGGCUAAGUACCUAGUAGUGUACUGUCCCCUUUCACUGGCCUUCCCCAGGACAAAGGGACACAAGGCUCAGAGCAUCGACCGCCUCGGGUGGCCCACGUCACACAGGAGCGGGGUAUUCUGGGGCUGGAGCCUCAGUCUCAGGGGCAUCCACGGGCCUAGGGGGAUAGGGAUUUUCCCAGAUGGGCCCUGGGGAGACUCCUGCCAUCCUCUCUUCUUUGUGGGGCUUCUGGGCUUCCCAGUUUGCUUCUCUGGGCAGACGGCUUCCUGUGCUGGUUCACUGCCCCGCUGUUCCCCGUGAGAAACCUGGACCCCCCCAGACCCCCCCCAGGACUCCGGCACCCCCUCUAUGCAAACACCCCCCCAUCAUCUGACUAAUGCUCCAUGUCCCU